UUCAAAAACUUUUUUCUUCCUUUCUUUCUUCUUCUUCCCAAAAGAUAAACACAUUCCUUCCCAGAAACACAAAUCGACCCCAAUCUCUUCUCCAUUAAAAUCAUCUCUGAUUACCUCCGUUUUCGAACAGAGAAGAUAGAUUGAUUCACAUAAACCCUGAACAAUUUAUAGAUACGAAUCAAAACCCUAGACAGAAUUUUACUCAGAAAUCAAAACCCUUAAUGUCUUCGAAUUCUCCAAAUUAGGGUUCUUGAAGAGAUGAUGAUGAUUAGGGUUUGCUGUGAAUCCCAGAGAAGACAAUUGAAGUAAUCUGGGGUGAUUUUGAAACUAAAGAAGAAGAGUUAAAAAAUGGGUGUUGAUAUUUGAGUUGAUUGAGAGUCUGCUGGAUAAUGCAGGUGAGCGAUUUCAGUAUUGCUCAAAGUUGUAACUCGUCGUGGUCAGUCUCUUUCUUCUUCUUAUGAAUCUAAACUGUGUAUCAUUCGAAUAAUCUUUUGACAAAUUUGAGUUCAAGCUGGAUAUCAAAACCUCUUUUGGAGAUUAAGUAUCAAUUGGAUACCGGCGCACUUGUGGAACAAGGUUCGAAGAGUCACUUUUCCACAUUAGAGCGACUCUUGGCAUGGGAGAAGAAGCUAUACCAGGAAGCUCGUGAAGGGGAAUAUAUGGAGCAUGAGAAGAAGCUAUCGAAUUUGCAAUCUUUGGAAUACAGGGGAGGUGGAGAAGCUAAUUGGACAAGACAAAAGGCAUCUAUAAAGAAUUGGUUUAGGAAUGAUUACAGGGAAAGCAUGGAAGAGCCGGAGCAAUGGAAUUGAAGUGGCAAGCAGUAAAGAUUUGGCAGUGUUCUUUUGCUUGUUGUUGUCAUCAGUUGGAUGAAGUGGUAUUGGCAUAAGAUGAUGAAGUUGAGUUGAGAAGAUAGACAUGAAAUGGUGAGUUGUAGGUGCAGUUUUGGUGUUGGGAUGUUUGAACUGGAGUGGCUUGAACUGUGCAGUGAAUGAAACUGAGAUGCAGCUACCGAUGAUGCAAGAAAAUGAGAUGGUGUUGUUAUUUAUGAAGCUACAGAAUGAAUUUGAUAUUGCAGCUGCAAUUGCAAUGGAUGCAGUGGACUGAAAUGAGUUUAGAAGAUCAGUGCUGGUGAAUGCAGUUGCAGAUAAUGGUGGUAUUGAUCUGCAAAUUGAGUUCAUGCUGAGAUGGAACUGAAGAAAUGGGUAGCUGCAGUUGGUUUGUGUUGAUUUGGUGUGAAGCAGUGGUCAGGGAACUGUAGGUGCUAAGGUGGUGCUGCAAUGAAGAAAAUGGGAGAGCUAGAUAUUGAGAUUGGGAAGAUGUGAAGCUGUCGCAGCUGUGGAAUGUGGCUGAACUGAAGUUGUGAUGCACAAAUCCGCAAUGAGGCGCAGCAGGAGCUUAGGCCUUGGCAAAUUGGACCAGUCAGCUAAGCUGACUCUGACUCACCAUCUGACUAGACAUUGACUCCGUUCUUGACCGGGUUGACUCAGCUGACCGGAACGGAUUGACUCGUUUGACCGGUUACCGGAUGGACUUUGCCGGCCACCUAAGCUACUUUCCCGACCAACUUUUAGCGGUCGAACAUCUCUUUUACAAUAUAUUUUUUCAUUUACAAAUUUGAAUCCAUUUAAUAACGCAGUGGUGUCGUUUCGUCAAGUUCUUCGGUCGGCCCUUCUACCGUGGCAACGGUUGUGCUAGUAUCUAUGCUUAAUAGACGAUCAAAUGUUCAUGAAUCGAUUAUUAAUUGUGACAAUUAAAAAAAUGUUGAUUUUGAUUUUGAUUUUU
Molecule: long non-coding RNA, 1782 nt
Organism: Papaver somniferum (opium poppy)
Lineage: Eukaryota; Viridiplantae; Streptophyta; Magnoliopsida; Ranunculales; Papaveraceae
Exons: 3
Source: RefSeq, a predicted model, not a curated record